This is a long non-coding RNA of Acinonyx jubatus (cheetah), 3739 nucleotides long. RefSeq lists it as uncharacterized. Lineage: Eukaryota; Metazoa; Chordata; Mammalia; Carnivora; Felidae. The record is from RefSeq and is a predicted model, not a curated record. The transcript is spliced from 3 exons.
AUCCCAAACCCUGAGUUCACAAGGGAACAAACCAGACCUAUAAUUACACAAUUAAAUAACUGCUGUGGUGUGCAAACUGCCCCCAAAGAUGUCAUCCUAAUAAUGCGUAUCAUUUUCUGUUGGAAAAAGGAGAGAAAUUAAACAUUUAUGCAUAAGGCCUUGAACUACACAUUCAAGUUACCGUUGUAAAUGCGUACUGUUGUCACAUUUAACUCUCCCAGUAAGGACGUGGGUGUUUUUAUUCCAUUUCCAAAGGAGGAAACUGAAGCACAGAGACAUUAAGUGACAGCCCAGGGUCACACAGCUGAUAAAUGACGGGUUGGGGAUUUGAACUCAGGCUUACUUAUUUCCAAAGUCUCUCUUCCUAUGAGAAUGGACAUGUAUUUGAACGACUGUCAAAAAACCUGGCUCCUCUUUUUGAAUCUACCGCUAACAAGUUACGUGAACUGGGAAAGUUCUUUUCAUUUUAUUGGGACUGAGUUUCCUGUUCCAUAAACAGAAUUGAGCGGGGUCAGCGAUGGCAAUAUAUGAGCCACCAAUGGCCACCCUCCCAUCCUCUGCCCAAGGCAGAUACGACUAUACGAUCAAGGCUCCAUUUCUCCCAGAGCUCGAAUUGAGUCACGCAAUCAGUAGCAAUUUAUACAAAAGAAAACUUAUUUGCCACCCUCUGGCUCUAUGAGCUCUCAGAUCUUUGCCAGUUCUAUUUAGUCUGCGCACUCUGGCCCUGGAUUUUUGUCAUUUCUCCGCAGUGCCGGAAGAAAAAUGGGAACAGCUUAUCUGCGAUUCUGCAGAAACCGCCAGAGGCAGAGCCCUACUGUGCUGGCUGUUGGUGGAGCUGCGUGCAGAGCUCCAGAGCCGAGGGUCUGCUAUAAGUGUGAAGGGUUACAAUUCUGCUCCACAUGAUGGAAAUCUUCCCUUGUGCCUGACGUUUACUUGGAUGUCACAUCGUGCUCUCAUGAAAUGAAUCUCUAUUGCUGAAAUGGCUUAGUACCUACAAUAAGGCAGCCGGAGAGGUAUAUGGAAAAACACGGCCGUCCUCUCACGCUGACUGGCACACCAGCCAGAGGGAUGGGGUGGGGAGGUGAUGCGGGACAGUCAGAGUUAUCUCUACUGAAGAUAUCCAGAAGUGCCCAGCUAUGUCAGGUGGUUGAGCCUGGGACAGGAGGUGACAGGAAUGGAACAUCAGAACAACACUGACAUCUGACGCUAAGCUGACAAGUGACAUCGCAUGCCAUGUGCUGGGGACAACAGGCAGUGUGCAGAUCUGAGGGAGCAGUGCACCUGGCCAAGUCACCAGGUUGUCCAGACCUCAGCAUCAGGUCAUCCCAACCUGGCAACAGCCACCAUGAAAACAGAAGUGGUCCGUUCUUCAAAGUGUGUAUUUGAGCGCAGUGUCAGACCCCAUUCCCAAUCUUGGCUACUCGACGGUGGUAGUUACUAGAAGAACCCACGGAGACUCUUUAGGUGACUCAGAGAAAACAAACCACUGUCUCCAAGAAAGAGCAAUCCAGAUCUGCCCCCACCUCAACUGCUCUAACUCAGCAAUUUUCCAAGUGUAACCCUCCAAUCAGUAGCAUGGACGUUUUUUGCCAUCCCACCACAUCGAUAGUGUUAAUUUAAUAUGCUUCCGUUCUUACAAGGGUCCACAUUGCGUCGUGAGAAGCCCCAGCCCAGGAGCUUGGUAGAAAUGCAUUCUCUGCCUCCACCCCAGACCUCCUGAAUCAGCGAUGCCGGAGUAGGGCCCAGCGGGCUGUGUUUGACCCAGCCUUCCAGGUGGCUCUGAUGCCUGCUGGAGUUUGAGAAUCACUUCCCCCGCUGAACAAGCUGACCUUCCAGAGCACGGGGAAUUCCCCCUUCCCUCCCUCCACCCAACUCCACUCCAAGGGGGAAACCUCCCCUCUGGUCCUGGGCCCCUGAGGCAGGUGUGAAACGGUCUGGCCUCAGGACUGGGCCAUCCCUGAUACUGGAAGAUAGGUCACUGUGGCCCGGGGCGUACUUGUGGGCUUAAAAUGAUAACAUAAAACCUGUACGUGGGAGGGACUGAGGUGAAAGGAAGAAUAAGCCUCCCCUUAAUCUCCUUACUGUUCAGCCAUUAUAAUCCUAUAAUUACAACCAAUAAGCCAAUAACAGCUACCAUUUACCUGGAUGUGGUCACGAGCCACGCACUGUGGGGAGCACUUUACACGUAUCAUCUUUCAGCAAAUUUCGAGGGAUAUGGCUUUAUUUUACAAAAGAAGAAACUGAGGCACAGUGAGUUAGACAUCUCAUUGGAGGGCAUUCAGCCCUUCCUAAGUGUCAGAGUUGGGACCUAGCCCCACAUCUGUCUGACUCUGAGUCUUGGCCACGCUGCCUUAAUCCGAUCGCCAGUGUCCCUUACCACCACCAGCCCCACAACACUCUUCAUCACGGUUGAUGUGGGGCCAGAGGAAGACCAGGAGUGUGAACUUCCCUGCACUUCCACGGUAGUGCUUUCCACUAGCCUUUUUAAAUACUCAUCCUCUGCGGCCCGGUCCUCGCGAGGGCACCCCUGUAUCACACUGAUUCCCUUUGUGGUUUCAGGAGCCCACUCCUAUCUGUGCACAGUCCGAGGAGAAACCAGGGUUUAGCCCCAAACUGGCUCUGCUGCGAGUCACAUUAUGAUGACAUCCCAGGGGGAUGUUCCUGCUAACAGAGACAGUCGGACCCCGAGGCACACCCCUUCUCCAGCUUCCCAUUAUCACAGGAACAUCUCUGCACCCUUGCCUCCUUCUCCUGAAGGAAACGAAGGCCCUGUGUGGUUGCCCGACCUGCCCACGGAGGCCAGGGAAACAACAGAGCGAGAACCAGACUCCAGGUUUCUGAAUUCCCAGCCAUUCUCUCGCACAGCAUUGUUGCUCUGGGAAGAGAGCUGGGAAUCCCGUGUCUGGCUGCCUGGGGGGCACAGCUAAAGGGUUUCUGGGAACAGGGGAGGAUCCUGCCCCAGGUGAGAACCAAUGAAACGGAGGGUUGCCUACUUCUCUCUCCUCUUUGCAAGAAUCCGGUUCUCCAAGGAAUUAGGAGAGAGCAGAGUCGAACCGGGGACAGCCACCGGUAGGAGAAUUUCUGGCAUCUGAACCUCAUUUCAUAAGAGCCACCUUUGAGAGAGAGUUCCGUCAACCAACUAACCAGCCAAUUAGAAUCCAUCAUUGAAGCUCGCACGUUGAACCACGGAUUGAGGACCAUGCUUCCUUCGUUCCCCCUCAGGUCCCAAAGUGCGACCUACAGAAUCGUUUUCAAGUGGAAUAUGAGUGGUGGUUUCCCCCAGUUAAGCAGAGGAGUUGAGCUCAGAAACUCAGUUCUUCUCCGACUUUGUGAGCUCAGUGUUUCGGAAUCAUUCACUGCCAUCUGCCUUCACAGCCUCCAGGAAACAAGGAACAGGAAAGGAGAGAACAAUGGAAUCCAUGGACCGGUGGGUUGCCCCCUCAGCUCUGCCUCUUAAGAGUCUCUGAACAGUUACUCAACCUCUUUGGUUUCAGUCUCUUCUACUUUACUAUUAGGCUGAAUUCGAUGGUUUCUAAGGUCCCCUACAAGGCAGACCUACCCUAAUUCUCCAGGGUACCAUGCCCUGAUACCUAAUCUGAUUUGGUCCCAUUUAUUUAGAAUAUAGUGAUUCACUCCCAGGCCCAGUAGCUCAGCUAAUUAGCUACCACCCAUCACAUUGCAUGGGUAUAUGAGUAGUUGUCUAGUAUAUUUACAGAUACAUCCAAGCCUUGUUUUGCCU